RNAcentral lists this small RNA (713 nucleotides) under Pan troglodytes (chimpanzee). RNAcentral describes it as "processed transcript". Lineage: Eukaryota; Metazoa; Chordata; Mammalia; Primates; Hominidae. The record is from RNAcentral.
AGUCAUUUCAAGUAUCCAUGUCCAUUGCAGCUGCUCUGGAACUCACAGGAAGAUCUAAGUUUUUGCAAACUCAUGGAAGAAUCACCUGGCAUGAUGGAAGUGGUUCAUUGCAUGAUAUUCAACUGUCAUUGCCAUCCAGUCCAGAACCAGAAGAUGGUGAUAAAGUAUAUAAGAAUGAAGAUUUAUUAAAUGAAAUAAAACAACUUAAAGAGGAAAUAAAGAAAAAAGAUGAAAAGAUCCAACUAUUAGAACUUCAGCUUAGACUGCACCAGUUGUCCUGAAUAAUAUCUCACCUUGAAAAUAAUUUUUAGAAAGAUUUAAGAAAUAUUGAAGAGCAUCCUAAAGAAAGAAAAGUGAAAGCAUUAAUCUUUAUCAGCAACUCAGCAUAUCUGCCACCAAAAAUGUAAAGAGGAAAAAUGCACUUAUGCUGAUAAAUAUACCCAAACACCCUGGAGACGAAUUCCUCCUCAAGUACUACAGCCUUCCAGCAGCCUUCCCAGACCCACAGACCACACCCAGGGAAAACUAAUAAAGCCACAGCGUAUCGAGGCCCGCAGUGAAUGCGCAAUCCAAGACAUGCAUCAGGGUGGUGCACAUCCGGAAGAAAGCUUUACACACGUCUUGCACCAAGAAAGCAACUAUGGUUUGGAAGAGCAGCCUUUUUCAUCAGGCCCACAAUUAACAAUGGAUGUGGCUAAGAGUACACCUUCUGA